UAUGGCCACAGCACAGUGAAACACCAAUUCCUGUACCAUCACCAAAGUUAAGCAAAGUUGAGCCUGGUCAGUACCUAGAUGAGUGACCACUUGGGAAUACCAUGCACUGUAAG
Molecule: non-coding RNA, 113 nt
Organism: Acanthosepion pharaonis
Lineage: Eukaryota; Metazoa; Mollusca; Cephalopoda; Sepiida; Sepiidae
Source: the annotation of a GenBank genome assembly